UGAAAAUCCAUUAUGCUCUCUGGCUUGCAAAAAUCUUGGCUAGCUUACGAUUUGAAGCGUGGACUCAUUAAAAACACUACUGACGAAACGUGAUUUUGGUACCUACCUGAUAUGAGCUCUGAGUCGAAAAAUCUGUGUCGAGAGUUUUUUUUUCUUGGUUCGUGUGCAUAUUUUAUAUUUAUAUAUAUAUUCCUCUAUAUUUUUUAAGAGGUUAACAGCCACGCAUGUGGAGAGUCCAUCUUCUGUAUGGUUCAUGUAAUUUUUUUCUCCUAACUUCCAGAAUAUAUGUUCGUAACAAACACUGCAUGGUUAAGAGCUUCAGCCCAAAAAGCGUCCGAUAAUUUAGCUCUGUGAAUCAUGGCUUAGCCCUUCCUUUAAAAUUCCAUUUUACCGUUGUACAAUUGAGUUAUUUGAAGGUGUCCCUAGAGACUUAAAUGAUUGUUUUAUGCUACUUUGAAAAUUUUUUCUCGAAAAGCCUUAUUAGUAAAAUCGAAAUUUGCUAAACGCCAGGGCCACAGAAGAUUUUGAUACAGCCGGUAUAACCCAGAUAAAUUUAGUACCUUUGCAUACUACGGAAGGCUGUGCACUGCCCCGCCUAGUGACUUUAGCCACCGGCCAUAUACAUCGAUGUUCAUAUGAAACCCGGCUGGGAGCCCGUCAUAAAAUCGUAAUGCUCUGGCCUCGUCCAGGUAGAAACAAACCAUUUGUAUUUCUAGUGGCAGUCAAGACUGGAGAUGCUUCAAAUAAAAGAUGGUUCUUGCCAUCUUUAUAAGGUCAUUCCACCAAGGCGGUAGGUUUCCCCACUAUAAUAUCGGAAGUACUUGGGUUAAGUUGACAAUAAGAAUCCAGAGAUCUAUCGGGAGCAGGGUGGUUAGCCGCAGAGCUGUUUUCAGUUAUUUU
Long non-coding RNA from Zophobas morio, 900 nucleotides. RefSeq lists it as uncharacterized. The transcript has 4 exons. NCBI's taxonomy places the organism in Eukaryota, Metazoa, Arthropoda, Insecta, Coleoptera, Tenebrionidae. The record is from RefSeq and is a predicted model, not a curated record.